This 253-nucleotide ribosomal RNA is filed under the name uncultured bacterium. Its description in RNAcentral is "partial 16S ribosomal RNA". It matches the Rfam family "Bacterial small subunit ribosomal RNA", at positions 524 to 776 of the family's 1533-position model. The record is from RNAcentral.
UACGAGUGCCUCGAGCGUUAUCCGGAAUCAUUGGGCGUAAAGGGUGAGUAGGCGGCGAUGUUAGUCUCCCGUAAAAUCUUUCGGCUCAACCGAGAGUCCGCGGGAGAUACGGCAUUGCUAGAGGAUGGUAGGGGUCUCUGGAACUCAUGGUGUAGCGGUGAAAUGCGUUGAUAUCAUGGGGAACACCAAAAGCGAAGGCAAGAGACUGGACCACUCCUGACGCUGAAGCACGAAAGCGUGGGUCGCGAAUGGG